This 3007-nucleotide long non-coding RNA is filed under the name Oryctolagus cuniculus (rabbit). RNAcentral's name for it is "lncRNA (ENSOCUG00000037924.1)". Lineage: Eukaryota; Metazoa; Chordata; Mammalia; Lagomorpha; Leporidae. The record is from RNAcentral.
AAUAACUGCCACGGAGGAUGACAUCACAGAAGUCUGGCCUGUGCCAACAUUCUGUGCAGGUGAGGUCAUUGCCCUCAGUGGGACUGUGAGCCACAUGUGGAGCACACUGGCUCUUGUGCAGUGGCCACUCUCUCCACAUUGGUCCACUUCCCAGCCCAUCACGGGGUGGCAGGUGUAGACGGGCUCUUACAGGGCUCAUGACCAAUGGAACGUAGUUGUAAACUAACCCCAGAGCAGGGAUGAGUAAGUGUACAGCAUUCCUUCAAAUCAAUCACAACAGAGCUGCCCCUUCUCUGCUCGCAGGUCUUCCUCAGGCUGGGUAAGAGGUCAGUGCUGUGGGCUUUACCCUCAAUUGACAGUCACCAGAAAGCGAUGACAAAUUGAACAUACCACAGUGGGACAAGGACACUGGCAGAUGAACCUUGCCCAAAUCUUUUAUGUUAUCUAAGAUCUUAGCUAAGGACAGUAUGAUGUUUCAGUUGCCAAGGUAUUCUAAACUCUACUUCCCUAUUUUCAUACACAUGAGUAGACCCAUGAUGCAUUUAAUUAGACCCAUGAUGCAGUGUGUGUAAACUGCUUGGGCAAUCUUUGGGCCCAGCAGUGAGAGCACCAGGAUGAGACCUGGGGUUUCCAUCCAGGCUCCACUCUGGUUUCCAGCUUCAUCCUGGGGCUCCAGCAACUUCAGACACCUAGGAGGAGCAUGCGCUCUCGCUCCCUCCUUCUUAAAUAAAUAAAGAAAAAAUUCUUAGAAAAUGAAAUCUUCAAAUUAUAGAGUCUAGGCAGAUUGAACAUCAAUGCUGGCCUCGGCUCCACACUGGCCCAGUGCCAAGGGAAGGGCCUAGAACAAUUGGAGCAGUGGGCAGUGGAGCAAACUGCCCAUGGACAGGCACCUGCCCAAGAGUCACCGUGCCCGGCCACUAGAGUACCUCCAGCUGCCAGGCCACACCCCACCCACCCUCUUGGAACCAUUUCUCCCUCCCCACCCCAAGGGGUCCCACCCAGGUCUCUGCCCCUCAGUGACUUUGGGGGAGGGGCUCAUAUACACGGACCCAGUGCCAAGAGGGACAGCAGGUUCUGCCACCCACACCCACCCGUUGAAACCUCCAGAGUCAGCAACUGGGACUGUGUUGUGUGGGAAGUUGCCUUCCAGGAUCUGGGCUGCUGGGGUCCCUGGUGCAUCUGUCAGCAAGGCCAGGCCCUCCUGGGGAGCUUCCACAACCACAGUGGGGGAAGGGGCACAGUUAGAGGGAGACAGAAGCCACAGAAGCUGACACUGUGCCCCAACCCCUGUAGCCUCUGUAUCCCUGCCCCACCUGCCCUGGCCUGGCUGGCCCCUGCAAAACCUGGUUUCUCCCCAGGAAUGUUUGUUCCCGUUCUCUGCUGGGGGAGUUUUUUCAUGGCGGGGCCUCAUCCUCGACGAAGCUGUGGGACUCAGAGCCAGGCUCUGUGUGGCCCGACGAUCCUGCUGACCCCGGCCUCCUGUAGACCAUGGGCCGCCAUACCCCUGGCCGCAUUUCCAGCUUUUCAAGUGGGAAGAAACCACCCUGCGUCCCAGGACUUGCACUUCUGUGGGCCAUCCUCAGCAAGACAUUUUCAUGGAUAUGAAACUGGACACCGAGUUGACGCUGAAGUUCAGCUGCUGGGUAAUCUUCCAUUUCUGGAGCUUGCUCAGCUUCCUUGUAAAACCCAGCUGUGCCUUCACCCUGGACAGGAGCAUCUGGUUAGUACAUGUGGCUGCGUCCUGUUGAUGGCAACCCUUGGGCCCAAGGAGGAGGGAAGGGAAGGGGAGGGGAGGCGAGGCGAGGUGAGGCAAGGCUAGGCGAGGUGAGGCGAGCCAACCCUAUGCCCUGGGGUUGGGCUGCCAGGCUGACAGCGAAGUGGACUUCCAGACUUUGUGAAGGAAGGUCAAGUGGUGGGAGCCCUAUAUACAUGAGGAGGCAGAAAUGUGGGGACAGAGCGUUCAUAGAAUAGAGGAACCACAGAGAGAGAGUUGAAUAAGAUAUUGGGGAAUGAAUUCCCUGGGGCAUUGCCAAGAAUUAAGGCCCAAAGAACAUUUUAAGAAGGGAAUACUGGUUGUCCAGGCUGUGGGAGGGGAAACUGGGAGGAAAACUGCCAUGUGUUGACUCAGAGAACAAAACAUGAGUCUGGUUUGGAGAGACGUGGUAAUAGUUGUUUGGGUUUUAGAUUUUCAGGCUAAGGACAAUGGGAUUGCAAGUACUUCAUGCAGUGGGAGUGGAGGGUUAGAUGCCAUGGAAGAACCUGGGGCGUGCAAGAUUUUGGGAGCUGAAAGCAGUGUGUGUCUGUAUGUCACCAUCCUAUGAUAGAAAAGCAAAAUGGAAGGAUUGUGAGGAGGAAAGCAGGCGACUUUGAGGAGAGUUGUAAUAGGGAGGAGCUGUCAUAGGUCUGCUUGUAAGAACUAGUAGAAUAUCAGAGUGUGAGAUCUGGGACAGGCCCUGGGGAGAAAGGAAGAGUGAGGGAAGGGAUAUCAGGAGGCAGGCAGAGGGAACAUUCAGGAGGGACUGGGGAAUGGGAGCUGAGUUAAUCAGGAAAUUUGACCAAAGUGUGCAGACUACCAAGAGAUGGAGAAGAAGUUAUUUGAAAGAAAAUGGGUUCAUAGGGGGCUUGGGAACAGGGAGAACCUGACUUAGCCUAUGAAUGAAGUUUGUGGCUUGUGGAAGUCAGAAUAUGGGCAGAGGAGUUUCUCUUGGUAAAUAUAUUUUUCUUGGCUUUCAAAGGAGUGUCUGCUAUGUGCCCACAUUUGUUCUAGUUAUUUAAGGUACUGCAGAGAGCAUCAUGAGGGUCCAUGAAAAAGUCUGUGGAAAGAGGGAUUUGUAAGGUUGUUUCAUUGUGUGUGUGUGUGUGUGUGUGUGUGUGUGUACAGAGAGAGAGAUAGAGAAUUAUUCUUAUCCAUUCAACUGAUGAUGUUUGAAUUCCUGGGCAAUUUCUUGUUUCCCUGCCGUGAAGAAUACUGCAAUAAAUACUGUGGUGAACGUAUCUCUCUGAUACA